This is a non-coding RNA of Chelonoidis abingdonii (Abingdon island giant tortoise), 299 nucleotides long. The record is from RefSeq and is a predicted model, not a curated record. NCBI's taxonomy places the organism in Eukaryota, Metazoa, Chordata, Testudines, Testudinidae.
GGGCCUGGGGCCUGUUUUGUUCAAUAUCUUUAAUAAUGAUCCGGAUGGUGGGAUGGAUGCACCCUCAGCAAGCUCACGGAUGACACUAAGCUGGGGGGAGAGGUAGAUACGCUGGAGGGCAGGGCUAGGGUCCAGGGUGGUUCCAAGUAGGAACAGACAGAACAAAGUAAGGCACCCAAGAAAAUAAAAUCAAAUGCGCAGAUCUACAUCUAGUCAAACUGAAUCCAGGUAAGAUCCUCACCAGUUCCAGGAUGCUUCCUUUUGCAGACUAAUCUCCUUUUAGCCUGGGCCCAGCAAUC